This is a long non-coding RNA of Alligator mississippiensis (American alligator), 1400 nucleotides long. RefSeq lists it as uncharacterized. NCBI's taxonomy places the organism in Eukaryota, Metazoa, Chordata, Crocodylia, Alligatoridae. The record is from RefSeq and is a predicted model, not a curated record. The transcript has 3 exons.
GCGUAGUUGGAGAGAGCGACUCUGUAUACACCUGGAGACCUCUAACAUAGGUGUUAGAGUAAACUGGCAAUUUGAUCACUUGCCAGUUUGCCCCCCCCGCUGUCUUCGACCUUAUCUCAGACGUAAUCGACGACCGCCGGCCCGCCCUUCUGCCCGACCACUUUUGCGAACUGACCUACUUUGCAGACCGACCUCAUGAACUCUAAGCUGUAACUAACCAAGUAUCUCUGACCUCCGUCUUUCACCACCUUGACGGCACACUCCAACUCCUCCAGUCCCAAGAAUCUCAAGUUGACAUAGAAAAGGAAUUUCCAGUGCUUGUGAAAACCUACACCCACAGAAUACCAUCCUUUUCAGGUGGAGCAGUGUGCACUCUUCAACCAGCAUGCCUCUGCCCUGGGCUGGUGAAACUGCUUCUAAAGUUUCAACUUUACAACGCUUGAUCCAACAUGAUGCCAUGCCAGCAAACAAGUUCGCCGUGUCACCCAUCUCCCUAGAGAACAUCUGUCCAAACUUCCUUGGACACUUUCUUUAAGAAAGCAGACAAGACUCCAGAAAAACCUGCAGCCAAGACUCCUGAGAAGACUGGACAAGAGCCCUUCAAAAAGUCCAGCAAAAUCACCACAAAGAAGUCCUUCCAAAUCAAGAUUGCUAUUUACAAUAUAAAUACAUUAAUGUAGCUAUAUUACUCAUUUAUAAUUGAUUGAGUACAAAAUUCUGGAUUAUUUUUGGUGAAAAUAGGGUAUCAGGUCUUGGUUCAGGAACCAAGCCAUCAUUUAUAACAUUGUUUCCUAUGGGAAAAUCGGUUCCGAGUUACAAUGUUUCGACUUAAGACAUGGUUUUCAGGAACCAAUUGUGUUGCAAGUCUGAGAACUGUCUAUAAGUAUAAGGGCAUGUAGGCAUCAUUUCCUUCUAGAAAAUGCAUUUGUGGAGGCAUGCUCAGAAUCUGACCAUGUAACAAGUGUGCAGGUAAAACAGAAUACAAUCAACUUGUUUCUGAAUACUGUUUCUUAAUAUGCAAAAGGGUGAUGAUAGAAAUUUUUUGUCCUACAUCUAAAGGGCCUUUCCAUCAGGACAUAAAACAGUGAAUAACGGUAAUGCUUCUGAAAUGCAUGGAAUAUGAAGUUUUUGACUGCAGUUUCGUAUAAUUUCAGAUCAGUAUUAUUACUGUAUGGAACUGUCAACUUUUGAAAUCAGCUCCAAUAGAAAAGACUAAUAGGAGUUCUCUUGGAGGAUGACUCCAUCUCCAAAACAUUUUGUAAUCAAGUUCUUGUAAAAGAUGCAAUGACCAGUAAAUUUCUUGGAAAAAAAUCCCUCUCAAGGUGAUUAACUUUUUGGUAUAGAGAACAGAUGAGGCAAGAACAGUCUUUUGGAAUACUUUACAAUAAAAAUAGUUCAGG